UUAGGACCCGUCUUUUUUGGGACCUUUCCAGGAAAAGGUCAAAAUCUCAAGGGUAGGUAAUAUCCUUGCCCGACAUCUCACGCGUUCCGCGCCCUGGUUUGUUUACUUCUAGCAUAGUGGGGCGCGGAACCCGUGUGCUGUGAGCAUGAGCGUGAGCUUUGAUAUUGGUUGGGUCAACAUUUUUAUUUUACCUCAAAAAAGUACUCAAAAAUCUCUAACUUUU
Molecule: non-coding RNA, 223 nt
Organism: Caenorhabditis elegans
Lineage: Eukaryota; Metazoa; Nematoda; Chromadorea; Rhabditida; Rhabditidae
Source: Ensembl